GUCAUUAGCAGACUAUUGGUAGCCUGACGCUGGACAUCCUUACACUAUGCAUGAGGAUGUCCAGCGUCACCAGAAUCCCUAUAGGAAAGCAUUGUAUAAUGAUUUCUUAUGGGGCUGUUCUAAAGCCAGCAUGGCCACUGCCGCUCAUGCGCAUUAGGUAUCCCUCGUCGGCUGAUGUCGGCGGGAGAAAAGCGAUGGUGGACC
Non-coding RNA from Pelobates cultripes (western spadefoot toad), 204 nucleotides. NCBI's taxonomy places the organism in Eukaryota, Metazoa, Chordata, Amphibia, Anura, Pelobatidae. The record is from the annotation of a GenBank genome assembly.